Cajanus cajan (pigeon pea) is the source of this 4271-nucleotide non-coding RNA. Lineage: Eukaryota; Viridiplantae; Streptophyta; Magnoliopsida; Fabales; Fabaceae. The record is from RefSeq and is a predicted model, not a curated record.
UCAAUCUAGGCUUCUCAGAGCUCCAAAAGAUCUUCUCCUUCUUUCUCUCUCCCAGUUGUUUCUGCAUCUCUCUCUCACCAUAAACCAUUAUUUUUCCCAUCUAAAUAUUUUCAUAAAACACCAAAAUUUCCCAUUUUUUCACCUACAUCAUUUCACCUCCUCAAUCACCAGUUUUUCUUUCUAAAAAUAUUGCUUCUGCACAAACACAAGGACCCAGGGAAUGGUGAAUUACGAUAUUUUAAUUCUUGAUUGGUAGCAUGUUUUGGCUGGAAUUUGGAUAGUUGCUUUUUAUUGUCAGAGGCAGAGGAAAUAAUAGCUUGCAAGUAGAUAGAUGUCUUCUUCUUCUUCGAUGGCUGCUCCCAAUGAAAGGUGGAUUGACCGUCUUCAGUUCUCCUCAUUGUUCUGGCCUCCUCCACCAGAUGGUCAACAAAGAAAGGAUCAAAUUGCUGCAUAUGUUGAGUACUUCAUCCAGUUUACAUCAGAACAAUUUGCUGAUGAUAUUGCUGAGUUGAUCCGUAACCGUUACCCAUCCAAGGAGAUUCUUCUCUUUGACGAAGUUUUGGCAACAUUUGUUCUUCAUCAUCCUGAGCAUGGCCAUGCAGUUGUACUUCCAAUUAUUUCAUGUAUUAUUGAUGGUACAGUAGCCUAUGAUAAGGCUAGUCCUCCAUUUGCUUCUUUCAUAUCUUCAGUGUGCCCAAAAAUUGAGAAUGAAUACUCAGAGCAAUGGGCUCUUGCAUGUGGUGAAAUUUUGCGUAUUUUAACCCAUUACAAUCGCCCAGUUUACAAAAAGGAAAAACAACAUGGUGAAACUGAAAGAAGCAGUAGUGGCAGUCAUGCCACAACUAGUGAAUCUGUUGAUGGGAAAUCUGAGCAUAAUUCUUUGACACAGCAAGAGAAGAAACCUAUAAGGCCAUUGUCCCCCUGGAUUACUGAUAUAUUGUUGGCUUCACCAGUAGGCAUUAGAAGUGACUAUUUUCGGUGGUGUAGUGGUGUUAUGGGUAAAUAUGCUGCGGGAGAACUCAAGCCCCCAUCAACUGCUUCUUCCCGUGGUUCUGGGAAGCAUCCUCAACUUGUUCCUUCAACUCCAAGAUGGGCUGUUGCCAAUGGUGCUGGAGUUAUAUUAAGUGUUUGCGAUGAUGAAGUUGCACGCAAUGAGACUGCUACUUUAACAGCAGCUGCUGUCCCUGCGCUUUUGCUUCCUCCUCCAACAACAGCUCUGGAUGAGCAUCUUGUUGCUGGAUUACCAGCUCUGGAACCAUAUGCUCGUUUAUUUCAUAGAUAUUAUGCAAUUGCUACUCCAAGUGCUACACAAAGACUUCUUCUUGGACUUCUAGAAGCACCUCCAUCCUGGGCUCCAGAUGCACUUGAUGCUGCUGUGCAGCUUGUAGAACUUCUUCGGGCUGCUGAAGAUUAUGCAUCUGGCAUAAGGCUUCCUAGAAAUUGGAUGCAUUUGCAUUUCUUGCGUGCAAUAGGGACUGCGAUGUCCAUGAGAGCUGGUAUAGCUGCGGAUGCUGCAGCUGCUCUGCUUUUUCGUAUACUUUCACAGCCUGCAUUACUUUUUCCUCCUCUCAGACAAGUUGAUGGAGUUGAAGUUCAACAUGAACCUUUGGGUGGUUAUAUUUCUUCCUAUAAAAAACAGAUAGAAGUUCCUGCAGCUGAAGCCUCUAUUGAGGCUACUGCCCAAGGAAUUGCAUCAAUGCUUUGUGCCCAUGGUCCAGAGGUUGAAUGGAGAAUUUGCACCAUUUGGGAAGCUGCUUAUGGCCUGAUUCCUACAAGUUCCUCAGCUGUUGAUCUUCCAGAAAUUAUAGUUGCAACCCCACUACAACCUCCCAUACUGUCAUGGAAUUUGUACAUACCCUUACUUAAGGUCCUUGAGUAUCUUCCUCGUGGAAGCCCAUCAGAAGCAUGUCUUAUGAAAAUAUUUGCUGCUACUGUGGAAGCUAUUCUUCAGAGGACAUUUCCACCUGAGUCCACUCGAGAACAGAACAGAAAAUCAAAAUACCUAUUUGGCAUUGGCUCUGCCUCUAAAAACCUUGCCGUGGCAGAACUUCGUACUAUGGUUCAUUCCCUCUUUUUAGAAUCAUGUGCAUCUGUAGAGCUUGCUUCACGCUUGCUUUUUGUUGUCUUAACUGUCUGUGUCAGUCAUGAAGCUCAAUUCUGUGGAAGCAAGAGGCCAAGAGGCGAAGAUAACUAUUCAGCUGAGGAAACCAUUGAGGACUUACAAGCAACAUCUGAAAACCGGAGAGAAUCAACAAAUAGGAAAAUGAAGAAGCAAGGUCCUGUAGCAGCGUUUGAUUCUUAUGUUCUGGCUGCUGUUUGUGCUCUUGCCUGUGAGCUUCAGUUGUUCCCUUUGAUUUCACGGGGGAAUAAUCAUUUAGCCUCCAAUAAUGUGCAAGAUAUAGCCAAACCUGUUAGACUAAAUGGAUCUUCCCAUGAGUUGCGGAAUGGCUUGGAUUCUGCCAUACGUCAUACUCAUAGAAUUUUAGCAAUUUUAGAGGCACUAUUUUCGUUAAAGCCAUCUUCUGUUGGUACGCCUUGGAGUUACAGCUCAAAUGAGAUAGUUGCAGCAGCUAUGGUUGCAGCACAUGUUUCUGAACUAUUUAGGAGGUCAAAAGCUUGCAUGCAUGCUCUGUCUGUUCUGAUUCGUUGCAAAUGGGACAAUGAAAUUCACUCCAGGGCGUCAUCACUGUAUAAUCUCAUAGAUAUUCACAGCAAAGCUGUUGCAUCUAUAGUGAACAAGGCAGAGCCAUUAGAAGCAACCUUAAUUCAUGCACCCAUUUGGAAGGAUUCCCUUGUUUGUUUUGAUGGAAAAGGGCAAAAUCAGUGUGAAAGUAGUAGCUGCUUUGACCCUCUGCAGACAUCUAGUGUACCUUCAGAAGAUUCAUUCCCAUCAAAACUUAACCAUAAUUCUGAAAAAAAACCAAAACCAUGCUCAAAUGAAACAUCAGGUUGUACCUUGGGUAAAGGUGUCACAGGUUUCUCAUUGGAUGCUUCUGAUCUAGCCAACUUCCUCACAAUGGACAGGCACAUCGGAUUGAAUUGCAAUACGCAAAUAUUUCUGAGAUCCAUGCUGACAGAGAAACAAGAGUUGUGUUUCUCUGUAGUUUCACUGCUAUGGCACAAGUUGAUUGCAUCUCCUGAAACUCAACCUUGUGCAGAAAGCACUUCUGCCCAACAAGGCUGGAGACAGGUUGUUGAUGCAUUAUGCAAUGUUGUAUCAGCCUCACCAACAAAAGCAGCUACAGCAGUUGUUCUUCAGGCGGAAAGGGAAUUACAGCCCUGGAUUGCCAAGGAUGAUGAUUCAGGUCAGAAGAUGUGGAGAAUCAAUCAGCGGAUUGUAAAAUUGAUCGUAGAACUUAUGAGGAAUCAUGAGAGUGCAGAAUCAUUGGUAAUUGUGGCAAGUUCAUCAGAUUUACUACUGCGAGCCACGGAUGGGAUGCUGGUUGAUGGAGAAGCUUGCACUUUACCACAGCUGGAGUUAUUGGAAGCAACAGCUAGAGCAGUUCAGCCAGUGCUCGAGUUUGGAGAAUCAGGAUUGGCUGUGGCAGAUGGCCUUUCAAACCUUUUAAAGUGUCGCCUCUCUGCUACAAUUAGGUGUCUUUCUCAUCCAAGCGCACAUGUCCGAGCUCUGAGUAUAUCGGUUCUUCGUGAUAUUUUGCAUACCGGUUCGAUCAGAUGUAGUCCUAAACCUCGGAAAAUAAAUGGCACCCACAACCCCUCUUAUCAAUACUUCAAUUUGGAUGUCAUUGACUGGCAAGCUGACAUAGAAAAGUGCUUGACUUGGGAAGCUCACAGCCGACUUUCAAACGGAUUGUCUAUUAACUUUCUUGAUACUGCUGCCAAAGAAUUAGACUGUACUAUUUCCAUGUGAAAUUAAAUCAAACACUGGAACCAACCGUCUUAGUAUGUGACAAUUUUUUACUAGACUUAUAGAAAAAAGACGUUAUUGAUGCUUAUGGAACUAACGGGUUUGCGAAUAAGCAACAUCAUUAUGCUAUUGCUAGUCCUGUUAAAAGAGUCGAAGUUAUAAUUCUAGUAUGUUUAUAGAAAUCUCAUUUUGUAUCAUGCAUGUAUUGUACCUAAACUAAGUUUCAACCUGAACUUUGCUCGUGACUCUGCUCUCAUAGAACAGACUUGUACAGUAACGAAAGACGAGGCUGUAACCAGAUAUUUUUGUUCAUCAUUGUCUCAUUUUGUGUUAUGUAAUGAAACUCAGUUCUAAUUGUUUGGACUAAUGCAUGUUCAGUUGGGCUUGGGCUUUGUUUUUCUAA